GGUAGGUAUCUAUUUUCAAUUUUUGUGAGUAAAAUAUAAUAAAAUGUGAAUUCUUAUCAUUUGACACUUAUAUAUACUAUUUUUAAUAUUAUGGGUGCAGGAUAAAAAUUUUAUCACCGGAUAAAUUUUUAUUAUGUGUAACAUUUAAAGGUUUUUUUGGUAAAAUGAGUUCUUAUAUAUUAUAAAAAAACAUAAACAGUUUUUAAUUAUUUUUUUUAUAUUUAUCAUUUUCCUUUACAUUCAUCUUGAUUGACAAUAUAAUGUUUGUAUUAUUUUUCAUUUAUAUUUUUUGUAUUGCCAAGCAGGGAGCAGAGCCCCUAGUUUUUAAUAUUCUUUGUUUCUUCAAAUGUUAUUAGCUGUUUUAAUUGCACAAAAAAGUUGUUUCAUUGCAAAAUUAACUUGAAAACAUAUUAUUAAUGAUGAAUUUACAAUAAUUUAUUGAUUAUGUUUUUGUUCAAUACUUUUUUGAACACUAUACCAUUAUAUUUGUUUUAAAUUAAUAAUAAAAUGAUGAUUGAUCUUAAAAGUUCUUAGAGAAUGGACAAACCCAACGCAGAAAGUCAAAUAUUUUACAUUGAUUGUCAACGGGCUGAAAAGUAUCACAUGUGUUUGUUGAAGAAGAAACUGAAGGAGCAAUACAUUUUAAUACUGGAAAUCCAAAAAAAAAAAUCACUUUAAUGACAAUGUAUGAUUGCUAGUUGCUUAGACAGAACAAUCGGAACAAGUGAACAAAAAGAAACGAAUACCUCAGUAAAAUGUCCUUAAAAGAAACAAGAAAAGCUAAGGAAUCUGAAUGAUCAACAACAAAUAAACAAAGAACUACAUUCAAAUAUUUAAAAUAUUUGUUAUUUACUAAUUACUAACAUUUUUCAAGUUGAUUUUCUAGGAAAAAAGAAAACUAAGGUUUAAAAAAAAAAUUGAAAAUAGAUUAAGCUGAAAGAGGUAUGACUAGCGGAUGUUAUAAGAACUUAAAACCAUUAUAUUAUUAAAUCGGGGGAAGUAAAAUCUCAAUUUGCAUAUGCCACUAGUUAUGUCUAAUGUAAUUCAGCUAAUCAAUUUGUAAUUUAAGUAUUUUGCAUUAAAUUUUUUCUUAAAAUUUCCUUCUAAAGAAUUUACAAAUCUUUGUAAAAUUUAAUACAAAUAAUAAUAUACAAGAAAUAUAUAAAAUAUUACAUGUAGGCCUUCACCCAAUGAAUAAUAGAUCAAUAUUUCAAUAAAAAUACCUAAGAAUCACUGA
This is a long non-coding RNA of Myzus persicae (green peach aphid), 1237 nucleotides long. RefSeq lists it as uncharacterized. The record is from RefSeq and is a predicted model, not a curated record. The transcript has 2 exons. NCBI's taxonomy places the organism in Eukaryota, Metazoa, Arthropoda, Insecta, Hemiptera, Aphididae.